This 71-nucleotide transfer RNA is filed under the name Hyphomicrobiales bacterium. RNAcentral describes it as "Rhizobiales bacterium tRNA-Asp". It matches the Rfam family "tRNA". From Rfam's summary of the family: Transfer RNA (tRNA) molecules are approximately 80 nucleotides in length. Their secondary structure includes four short double-helical elements and three loops (D, anti-codon, and T loops). Lineage: Bacteria; Pseudomonadati; Pseudomonadota; Alphaproteobacteria; Hyphomicrobiales. The record is from RNAcentral.
GUAGCUCAGUCGGUUAGAGUGCCGGCCUGUCACGCCGGAGGUCGCGGGUUCGAGCCCCGUCACUCGCGCCA